RNAcentral lists this non-coding RNA (22 nucleotides) under Rattus norvegicus (Norway rat). The record is from RNAcentral. Lineage: Eukaryota; Metazoa; Chordata; Mammalia; Rodentia; Muridae.
AUUCUGUUGGUGAAGCUCGUAU